GGGAAACGGGGCGCGGCCGGAAAGCGCGGCCGCCCCCUCGCCCG
RNAcentral lists this non-coding RNA (44 nucleotides) under Sus scrofa (pig). Lineage: Eukaryota; Metazoa; Chordata; Mammalia; Artiodactyla; Suidae. The record is from RNAcentral.